RNAcentral lists this ribosomal RNA (253 nucleotides) under uncultured bacterium. RNAcentral describes it as "partial 16S ribosomal RNA". It matches the Rfam family "Bacterial small subunit ribosomal RNA", at positions 524 to 776 of the family's 1533-position model. The record is from RNAcentral.
UACAGAGGGUGCGAGCGUUAAUCGGAAUUACUGGGCGGAAAGCGUGUGUAGGUGGUUUGAUAAGUUAGAUGUGAAAUCCCCGGGCUUAACCUGGGCACUGCGUUUAAGACUGUUGAACUAGAGUACUGUAGAGGAUAGUGGAAUUUCCAGUGUAGCGGUGAAAUGCGUAGAUAUUGGAAGGAACACCAGUGGCGAAGGCGACUAUCUGGAUAGAUACUGACACUGAGACACGAAAGCGUGGGGAGCAAACAGG